RNAcentral lists this ribosomal RNA (234 nucleotides) under uncultured bacterium. RNAcentral describes it as "partial 16S ribosomal RNA". It matches the Rfam family "Bacterial small subunit ribosomal RNA", at positions 15 to 238 of the family's 1533-position model. The record is from RNAcentral.
GAUCCUGGCUCAGGAUGAACGCUAGCGACAGGCUUAACACAUGCAAGUCGAGGGGCAGCGGGGGAUAAGCUUGCUUUUCCUGCCGGCGACCGGCGCACGGGUGAGUAACACGUAUGCAACCUGCCCCUGUCAGAGGGAUAAUCCGGAGAAAUCCGGUCUAAUAUCGCAUAAAGCGUUUGCCGGGCAUCCUGCGAGCGCCAAAGGAGUAAUCCGGACAUGGAUGGGCAUGCGGCG